RNAcentral lists this ribosomal RNA (280 nucleotides) under uncultured bacterium. RNAcentral describes it as "partial 16S ribosomal RNA". It matches the Rfam family "Archaeal small subunit ribosomal RNA", at positions 456 to 735 of the family's 1478-position model. The record is from RNAcentral.
UGCCAGCCGCCGCGGUAACACCAGCGCCACGAGUGGGGACCACGUUUAUUGGGCCUAAAGCGUCCGUAGCCGGUUUGUUAAAUCUUUUGUGAAAUCGUAGGGCUUAACCUUACGGCUUGCAAGAGACACUGGCAAACUAGGAACCGGGAUGGGCAUGAGGUAUUCCAGGGGUAGCGGUAAAAUGUUAUAAUCCCUGGAGGACCACCUGUGGCGAAGGCGUCAUGCUAGAACGGAUUCGACGGUGAGGGACGAAAGCCAGGGGAGCGAUCCGGAUUAGAUA